This 567-nucleotide long non-coding RNA is filed under the name Brassica napus (rape). Its description in RNAcentral is "long non-coding RNA (BNAP_LNC006705)". The record is from RNAcentral. Lineage: Eukaryota; Viridiplantae; Streptophyta; Magnoliopsida; Brassicales; Brassicaceae.
CAUCGACCGUGUCAUUUCCGGUCAUCUAUGAUCGGGGGUGUCACAAAGGUGGUAUCAGAGCAUGGUUAUACGAUGCUAGAAUGGGACUUGUUUUAAAUGUUUUUCGAGUCAAAAUGAGUCGCAAGGAUAACUAGGAUAUGCUGGCUUGUUCCUUCAUUUUAGAAUAGAUAGUCAUGGGUAGUUACCUAACCUGAUCUUUCAUAGCAGAAGCACCAAGACAAGCUUGAACGGGUGAACCGUACUUAUCGAUGCUGCUAUCAUCAUGUUCGAGUUUUCUACCCUCAUGGCCAGGUUCACUACCGUCCUAUUAGGAGUCAGUAACGCCAUGCCUUCCUGCCGUUCUUUUGAGUUCUAGUGGGGAUGUCAAUUCUUUAGAGAGAUAUAUGGGACAGAAUUGAUACAUCGAUUCAUCGAAUACAUCUCCAGACUCGUGUGUUAUCGAUGUCAAGGUGGGUGUUGAUUGUGAUCCGAUUCAGAGAGAUUCGACUACACAUGAUCACUCAGAUGCACCUGUUACCUUCUGCUCAUGUUGAUCCAGUUUAUGAUGAGCCGUACCAGGACCAGAGC